Molecule: ribosomal RNA, 734 nt
Filed under: Dermatobranchus otome
Lineage: Eukaryota; Metazoa; Mollusca; Gastropoda; Nudibranchia; Arminidae
Description: 12S ribosomal RNA
Source: RNAcentral
AACUUUGUCAUGAUUAAACCAUAUCUUAGGCCAAACUUUAGCAUGGUAAUUAAUGUAGCUCAAAGAUAAGCACUAAUAGAAACAUGAAUUAACCCAGCAAGAAGCAUUAAACAAUAUUAGAAAUAAUAAUUUAAUCAGAGCCUUUAGGUUCGACUAACUAGGUGCCAGCAGUCGCGGUCACACCUGGGAGCCAAAUUUAUGAAGCACAGACUGGCUAAAAAUGAAACUUAAUAAUUAAGUAAAAUUUCUAUUAAGCUAAAAUCUAACACCAAAUUUAGCCCAAACUUUGACUGUAAACCGGGAUUAGAUACCCCGCUAUACAAAGCCAAAAUCAAAAGUCUAAGCACUAAGACUUUAUAGUUAAAACUUAAAUGACAUGGCGGCAGCUUCAAAUUUCAGGGGAACUUACCAGGUAAAUGAUAAUCCACAAAGUACCCUACUCUUUCUUAAAGCUUGUAUAUCGCCGUCUUCAGAGCCCUUCUGAGAAGGGCUCAAAAUGUUAAGACAAAACAAAAAGACAGGUCAAGACGCAACCAAUGCUAGAGUCAUAAGGUGAGUUACAAUGAUAAUUAAUCUUGGAAUUUUUUUGAAAUUAAAGAAAAAAACCGGACUUGAAAGUAAAUGCUAUAAAAAACAUUACUUGAAUCCUAAAAAAGCUGUGCACAAAUCGCCCGUCACUCUCGUUGAAAAAGGAGAUAAGUCGUAACACAGUAAGUGUACUGGAAAGUGUACUU